GCACCUGAAUCUUUCCUGUUCCUUGCUGUGCAGUGCAGAUCUGGGGACUAGUUGGUGCUACAGCACAGCAGUGGAAAUCCAGAUGGUUUGCUUUCCACUGGUUUGGAAUUAAUCUCUACACCUCUGCAACAUUU
This 134-nucleotide small nucleolar RNA is filed under the name Antrostomus carolinensis (chuck-will's-widow). RNAcentral's name for it is "Caprimulgus carolinensis (chuck-will's-widow) Small nucleolar RNA SNORA55". It matches the Rfam family "Small nucleolar RNA SNORA55". From Rfam's summary of the family: ACA55 is a member of the H/ACA class of snoRNA that guide the sites of modification of uridines to pseudouridines. The record is from Rfam by way of RNAcentral. Lineage: Eukaryota; Metazoa; Chordata; Aves; Caprimulgiformes; Caprimulgidae.